Long non-coding RNA from Humulus lupulus (European hop), 542 nucleotides. RefSeq lists it as uncharacterized. The record is from RefSeq and is a predicted model, not a curated record. The transcript is spliced from 4 exons. Lineage: Eukaryota; Viridiplantae; Streptophyta; Magnoliopsida; Rosales; Cannabaceae.
AGGUGUCUGAUAGAGAAAUAUCACACUUUUUUGGUUUCAUUGAGCCAUCGUGGUCAUCGAGAAUUAGGGCAAAUAUGGAUAAUCGGGCUGAAAUUAUCUCAGAGUGUAUCAAUAACACAGUGAUGGGUCAACCUUGGUUAAUGACAUACCAUUUCUUACGUCACUGGAUGUUAGUGAUCAUUGAUCCAGAUGACCAUACUUGUUACUAUCUUGAUCCACUUAGAAAAUCUCCUCCAAAUGAUUUGAAGAACCUUAUGAACAGUGUCUCUUCACACAUUAAGUGAAAGAUAGGAAGGAAUAAAAAAAAAUUACAAGUGGAAAAUAGUCAAUUGCCCUCGUCAAACAUCGUCAGUAGAGUGCGGCUUUUAUAUCAUAAGGAUGAUGAAGGACUAUUGCUUGAAUGAGACACCCAUGCGAUGGCUAACUAGUAAUUGUGGUGGGAAGAAUACAUAUAUACUUGGCGAAAUUAAUGAAACUCGAAAUGAAUGGGCAGCUAAGCUUCUUGAGCAGAUGAGUCAUAGCUAGAGUAACUUUUGAAAUCA